CAGCAGCCGCGGGAAAACCGAGGAUGCAAGCGUUAUCCGGAAUAACUGGGCGUAAAGGGUGCGCAGGUGGUUUAACAAGUUAGUGGUGAAAGGCAUAGGCUCAACCAAUGUAAGCCAUUAAAACUGUUUAACUUGAGUGCAGGAGAGGAAAGUGGAAUUCCUAGUGUAGCGGUGAAAUGCGUAGAUAUUAGGAGGAAUACCAGUGGCGAAGGCGACUUUCUGGACUGCAACUGACACUGAGGCACGAAAGCGUGGGGAGCAAACAGGAUUAGAUACCCCCGUAGUCCCUGUCUCUUAUACA
Molecule: ribosomal RNA, 301 nt
Filed under: uncultured bacterium
Lineage: Bacteria
Description: partial 16S ribosomal RNA
Rfam family: Bacterial small subunit ribosomal RNA
Source: RNAcentral